GCGCUGCUCCUCGCUCAGUCCGGUGCAUCUGCGGAAGUGGACGCCGCGGGCAAGCCGAAGUGGACGACCCGACUGCGUUGGCGCGUGUGUCGGCGCGAGGCAGGCGUCACGCACCAGUGCUCAGUUUCUUC
This 131-nucleotide non-coding RNA is filed under the name Durinskia baltica. Lineage: Eukaryota; Dinophyceae; Peridiniales; Kryptoperidiniaceae. The record is from RNAcentral.